UACGAAGGAUCCAAGCGUUAUCCGGAUUUAUUGGGUUUAAAGGGUGCGUAGGCGGAUUGUUAAGUCAGUGGUGAAAUCUUGCAGCUUAACUGUAAAAUUGCCAUUGAUACUGAUGAUCUUGAGUACAUUUGAAGUGGGCGGAAUAUGUCAUGUAGAGGUGAAAUUCUUAGAGAUGACAUAGAACACCGAUUGCGAAGGCAGCUCACUAAACUGUAACUGACGCUGAGGCACGAAAGCGUGGGGAUCAAACAGG
Molecule: ribosomal RNA, 253 nt
Filed under: uncultured bacterium
Lineage: Bacteria
Description: partial 16S ribosomal RNA
Rfam family: Bacterial small subunit ribosomal RNA
Source: RNAcentral